GAGCACUUAUAAUGUGUUGCAAGCCCUCCCCUUGGCAGUUAAUCUAUUUGGAGGAAAAUUUAUCGAUUUCUCACUGCUGUUCAGGGUUACAGAAGUGUGGAAUGAGAGCAUUACAUUUGCAAGAGCGGGACAAGUACUGUGAGCCUUAGGAAAAGACACAUCUGAGAAAGAAGUGAAUGCAUCUCUUCAUUGUAAUGUGCAAAGAGUAUUAAGGAGAUAUCUACUAGUAAAGGUGUUUUAUGCCUUUAAAAUCCUUACCUGAGUAGAUUUUUGCUGGAGACUGGGGAGAGGGCGGAUGUUUUCAGCACAGCAGAUAAUAUCAGAGCCUGACAAGAAUUUAUGAAUGGGAGAUGUAGACACCUUAGAAAUGAGUUAUGACUGAGCAUAGCUCACUGAAACGAAAGAAGAAAAAUCUGUGCAUCUGAGAAUCUACUGUCUAAGCUCUGGCACCGAGCAAUUUUUUUCCUAUGGUUAAUUUUUUGGCUUCAGUAAAUCCAAUCAGAUAGUGAUUUAUUACAAGUUUAUAUUCUGUGUCAUUUCCUCUUCAAUAAUAAUAUUCAAUGAUUCAUUUUCUUGUUGAGAAAGAAAGUCAAUAUUGUAAAUCCAUCCAGCUUUCAUAAACCAGCUCCUCUGGGACUUUGCACGGUCUAAUGGACUUUGUACUUUCUCUGGUACUCAUGAUACAUCUUCCUUUGCGGGCCAUUGCCUCAGGAAUCCGUCCUCUUCUUCCUUGGUGUCUGCAUCUCCCAGAUAGCCGGAGAUAGGAUGUUAUCUCUGCCAUUGGGAAGGUAAUCCACCUUGCUUCUUAAUCAUUUUUAGCCUUUUGUCAAUAUCCAACCUAGCAAUAUUGCUCUAAAUUGCUUGUACUCAUUUUCUAAGCUCUGUAGUCUGCCAUGACAAAUUCAGUGCCUUUUACAUAUAAAUGUAUCUCAGAAUAAUGGACAGGAGAGGAAGGCACUCUAGAGGAAUACAGGAACAUCAGCAGCAGGACAGAAUGAAGCCCAAUAUCCUGAUGCCAACCAUGGUCUGCUGUGAAUGCCAAGGGAAGAUCACGAGAAGAGACACAGCUGGUGAUACACCCCUGCAUCCUGUCCUGUCCCCAGGGAUCUGUCAGCUGGGAGCUUCCUGAGUCCAUUGACCCACAAAAGAUUCAGCUAUGUACAUUUCCUAAAGAAGAGUUGCUGUGAUUUCAGAAGGCCUGGGGAUGGCGGUGGGGCAGAGCCACCUCUAAGUACUGAAGGAAUUACUGUGAUGACCCCAGUGCUGAGAAAAGCUGGGCUCUGUCCUGCUCCAUGUAGUGCCAUGUGCAGCCACACGGAGAUGCCAGCUGGAGCUGGAAAGCAGCGACAUCCCUCAGCCUGGGCACUCCAGAGCAAAUCAGCCCAAGUGCCAUGCGGGGCCAUUCUCUGCUGCCCACUCUGUGUACAGACACAGCCAGGCCCUCUGCACACGAGAAUGCCCAGCUGGCUGUUGGACAUUGUCCUCUCAGUGCUGAUAGAAGCAAUGGUGGAUGCAGAAAAUGCAAUGUCCCAUGGUGAAACUGCAGCAAAGAGGUUGCAGUGGCUGAGGUCCAUGCUGCCAGGGCUGUCCAGCUCGGAGCUGGUGCCUUCCCCUGUUACCAGCACUGUCCUAUGUAAGGCUGGGACAUGAGAAUCCACAGUACAAAAAAUAAGCCCUAGGAUAGGGGAAGAAAAAAAAAAAUGAUUUUUUUACAGGACAGUUCAGUGCAAGUAAGGGAAUCUCAUUGAUUCAGAAGUUUUGGUUUCAUUUCUACCAACACAUCUCUCUCCUUGGGAUGAGCAUCUGGUAAAGAUUACAGGAAAAGAGUCUGUAACCUCACUGCUGGAGAAGAGGGUUACAAAGAAUAAGGAGGGAAAGGACAAAGCAGUGACAAUUGCUCUGGGAACUCUGUCAGACAACCUGAAGGACCGCAUUGAUGAACUGGAUGACGCCUGCAGCAGUUUAUCUCCUCAAAGCUGUUGCUUUGAUGAGUUCUUUCAGCUUGUGACAAGAUCUUGACCUUGAAGGAGCUGACUGAUAAAGAUGUGGAUGCAGCAAUUGUGCUGUGGCUCGUGUCUCCACAAUAUCUGCUCGAGCAUUCGCGCAGAAGAGCACUCUCCAGUAAACAGAGAUAUGGCUGGGCACACACCAGCCUGCACUGGGGCUGAUCAAAAAAAAAGAAGGAAAAUCGUUUUGAAAGAUAUGAACUGUUUUUAAAUGUUGAGUCAAAAGAGAUGGAUCUCCUGGGAAAGACUUCUAUGGGCUGUGCAGCAAGAAGGCAGGAGCAGCAAUGCAGGGAGCAGGCAGCCAACACGUGCGAGGACCUUGCCUGGUUGAUCAGUGCAGGCACAGGGGGCAACCUCCAGUGUCCCCUCUGCAGUCUAAAGCAGUGUCAGAAUCCGGUACAGUGCCUAAAUCCACAUCUGCCUUGCAAAAUACAUCUUGCAAUAAUAAAACAUUUUCUCAGUCUGUGUGCCAGCAAUGCAGAAAGCUGCUUUGGUGGGGAUAAACAGAGGAGGCAGAUACUCACAGCUCAUCCAUGAAACGCAGCCCUCAUGCGAUCAGCUGCUUGCAUACAGCCCCCUCACAGUAACAAACAGCACAGGGCUCUUCUCACCUCGGCAUCCUGAGCGAGGAACUGAAGGAUCUGUAUGCCCAGCAACAAAGGCCACAUAAAAGUCGAAAUGGCAUUUGACAGCAAAUGAAGCAUACCGGUUUUUAUAUGAACUCUUCCCAGCCAGUUCAGCUAGGAAGAUUUCAUGAAGAUCUAGGAGAGGCAACAUUUCCACUCCUUUCUGAAGCGAUGGUGACAGCAUGCUGCAGUCAUCGUGAUCUCCUUCCUCUCACUUCUCGCCAGACAACCACGACUCAAAGCGCCUACGCAAGCAAUGCCAACCCUGCGUGAGGUUUGGAGCUGUGUUUAUCCUGCAAUAUUAGAAGGAAAAUCUAAGGUAUUGCAAGUUGGGCACCUGAGGAAUUACUGUGCCUUGCAGAGGGGUUAAACCCACAGAAUCCCUCCAGGCUCCAUGGAAGCAGCAGGAACUGAGCAUCUCUGAAAA
Long non-coding RNA from Anas platyrhynchos (mallard), 3059 nucleotides. RefSeq lists it as uncharacterized. Lineage: Eukaryota; Metazoa; Chordata; Aves; Anseriformes; Anatidae. The record is from RefSeq and is a predicted model, not a curated record.